RNAcentral lists this unclassified non-coding RNA (292 nucleotides) under plant metagenome. RNAcentral's name for it is "partial contains small subunit ribosomal RNA, internal transcribed spacer 1, and 5.8S ribosomal RNA". The record is from RNAcentral.
UUUCCGUAGGUGAACCUGCGGAAGGAUCAUUAUUGAAUAGACCUGAUGUGGUUGUAGCUGGCCCUUUCGGGAGCAUGUGCACACCCGUCGUCUUUAUCUUUCCACCUGUGCACCUUUUGUAGACCUGGAUGUAACACUUUCCGAGGCAACUCGGUCGGGAGGAAUGCUGUCAGCUUUCCUUGAAUGUCCAGGCCUAUGUUUUCAUAUACCCCAAAGAAUGUAACAGAAUGUAUUAUUGGGCCUUGUGCCUAUAAACUAUAUACAACUUUCAGCAACGGAUCUCUUGGCUCUC